Molecule: ribosomal RNA, 367 nt
Filed under: uncultured organism
Description: bacterial LSU rRNA
Rfam family: Bacterial large subunit ribosomal RNA
Source: RNAcentral
CUUUACUGUAGCCUGGUAUUGGGUUCGGGCUUUGACUGCGCAGGAUAGGUGGGAGACUAUGAAGAUGCCCUUGUGGGGGCAGUGGAGUCAUCAGUGAGAUACCACUCUGUCAAGGCUAGAAUUCUAACCGUAUGCCGUUAUCCGGCGACGGAACAGUAUCAGGUGGGCAGUUUGACUGGGGCGGUCGCCUCCUAAAUGGUAACGGAGGCGCGCAAAGGUUCCCUCAGGCUGGUUGGAAAUCAGCCGAAGAGUGUAAAGGCAGAAGGGAGCUUGACUGCAAGAGCAACAACUCAAGCAGGGACGAAAGUCGGCCUUAGUGAUCCGACGGUUCUGUGUGGAAGGGCCGUCGCUCGACGGAUAAAAGUUA